CGAUGUUCUGUGUCGUCGCUUUUUUAAAAGUUUGUUGUGUGGUGUACAGUUAGAAAAUCAAGAUGUAUGUCACAUGGAGCACUUGACUAAACAAACUUUGUUCUCGGCUAGAGUUUGAAGCAAGCUAUUGAACUGUUCACCAUUCCACCGCCUUACAGAACCACCCACUGUAACUGUUUUGAAGCCAUAGUUGCUUGCACCAUUCUCCCAGAGGUGGACUUGGGGAUGUUUUUGGGGGAGGAGUGAAACAGUCUGUCAGAACUAGUCAUACAGCAAAAAUUUGAGGGAGCCAUCUGGAGGUGGCAUUGAGGCAGCAACAACACACAUCACAACCUGUCGGUGAUGUGUCCGGCGCCAUCACCACAUACAGUUCAAUUGUUGGCUACCCUCACCACAUGUAGGGGUUUUCAGCGACCCCUUAGCAGCUUCCCGGCCCAUCGUGGAGGCCAUCCAUGUGUUUUGGACCAUCACAGAUGUAUUGGUUAUGCAAUUUUGAUGCAAAAUUGAACCUGAAAACCUGAUAAAAUGUGGAUUCCAGUGGAUAAAGCUCAAUGUGUGUGGCCUGGUAGAUACAGACGAUAUCAGAUACCCAAGUGCAACGAACCUUUUGGAAUUGGAAUACAUCAUGUAUGGAAACAGGUGAUGCAAUUUUGAUGCGAAAUGGAACCUGAAAACCUGCUAAAAUGUGGAUACCAGUGGACAGAGCUCAAUGUGUGUGGCCUGGUAGAUACAGGCGAUAUCAGAUACCCAAGUGCAAUGAUCCUUUUGGACUUGGAAUACAUCAUUUAUGGAAACAGUGCUCACAAGACAUUUACGGUGGGGUGUGCAGUUUAGAACAGUUCUCCAUCUACCCCUCAGCGCUCACCAGAAUUAUUCAAAGUGGGGCACUCUGCCAAUUCUAAGAAGCAGGCCAAAGAUGUCCUGGUAAGCAGCACAUUGUCAAUGCUGCGAGACAUAAAAACAGCAAUGAAUGGGAGCAGUGAGGAUGACGAGUUGGGCCAAUAUGUUGCAGCUGAGGUGAUUACAACUAAAAAUAGAACACUGAAUGCAGAAGCAACGUGCCUUAUCAUGAAUGCCAUCAUGGGUGCAAUUCAGAAAGUUACUGAUUGUUAAUUU
Molecule: long non-coding RNA, 1116 nt
Organism: Schistocerca cancellata (South American locust)
Lineage: Eukaryota; Metazoa; Arthropoda; Insecta; Orthoptera; Acrididae
Exons: 6
Source: RefSeq, a predicted model, not a curated record